This 253-nucleotide ribosomal RNA is filed under the name uncultured bacterium. RNAcentral's name for it is "partial 16S ribosomal RNA". It matches the Rfam family "Bacterial small subunit ribosomal RNA", at positions 524 to 776 of the family's 1533-position model. The record is from RNAcentral.
UACGUAGGGUGCGAGCGUUGUCCGGAAUUAUUGGGCGUAAAGAGCUUGUAGGCGGUUUGUCGCGUCUGCUGUGAAAAUCCGGGGCUCAACUCCGGACUUGCAGUGGGUACGGGCAGGCUAGAGUGUGGUAGGGGAGACUGGAAUUCCUGGUGUAGCGGUGGAAUGCGCAGAUAUCAGGAGGAACACCGAUGGCGAAGGCAGGUCUCUGGGCCACUACUGACGCUGAGGCGCGAAAGCGUGGGGAGCAAACAGG